UCCCCGUUAUCCGGGGCAGUUUCGCCAGAGUGCUCAGCUUGACCUGUUAGCAACUGGCAAUAAGGGUUGCGCUCGUUGCGGGACUUAACCCAACAUCUCACGACACGAGCUGACGUCAGCCAUGCACCACCUAUCGCAGGCCCUUUCGGACACCCCAUCUCUGUGGCUUUUCCGGCGUAGUUCAACCCAGGUAAGGUUCUUCGCGUUGCCUCGAAUUAAGGCACAUGCUCCGCCGCUUGUGCGGGCCCCCGUCAAUUCCUUUGAGUUUUAGUCUUGCGACCGUACUCCCCAGGCGGGGCACUUAAUGCGUUAGCUACGGCACGGAGCCCGUUGAUAAGGCCCCACACCUAGUGCCCAACGUUUACGGCGUGGACUAC
Molecule: unclassified non-coding RNA, 377 nt
Filed under: uncultured Acidimicrobiia bacterium
Lineage: Bacteria; Bacillati; Actinomycetota; Acidimicrobiia
Description: contains 16S-23S intergenic spacer region
Source: RNAcentral